RNAcentral lists this ribosomal RNA (444 nucleotides) under uncultured bacterium. Its description in RNAcentral is "bacterial SSU rRNA". It matches the Rfam family "Bacterial small subunit ribosomal RNA", at positions 331 to 793 of the family's 1533-position model. The record is from RNAcentral.
CCAGACUCCUACGGGAGGCAGCAGUGGGGAAUAUUGCACAAUGGGGGAAACCCUGAUGCAGCAACGCCGCGUGAGUGAAGAAGUCAUUCGUGAUGUAAAGCUCUAUCAGCAGGGAAGAAAAUGACGGUACUCUGUAAGAAAGCUCCGGCUAACUACGUGCCAGCAGCCGCGGUAAUACGUAGGGAGCAAGCGUUGUCCGGAAUUACUGGGUGUAAAGGGAGCGUAGGCGGGAGGAUAAGUUGAAUGUGAAAUCUAUGGGCUCAACCUAUAGCUGCGUUCAAAACUGUUCUUCUUGAGUGAAGUAGAGGCAGGCGGAAUUCCUAGUGUAGCGGUGAAAUGCGUAGAUAUUAGGAGGAACACCAGUGGCGAAGGCGGCCUGCUGGGCUUUUACUGACGCUGAGGCUCGAAAGCGUGGGUAGCAAACAGGAUUAGAUACCCUUGUAC